UUCCUACCAAUUUUCCUAAAUAAAGUUCCAUCUUAAUAAAUGAGUUUAAAUAAAUUGAGUAAAUUUCGCGGCUAAAGUGAUCACGUGUGCAGCUCCGCAGAAAACAAACACAAUCUGCUUUCCUCAGCAACGACGUCGACUAGCCAUACUCCUCGCAACUCCUGUUUCGCGGCUUAAUCGAAGCCACCUGAAGGACGGCUUUCCUCAGCAACGGCAAGGCCCGCACUCCUCGCAUAUCCUGUUGAACAAGUUUCGCGGCUCAAGCAAGAGGCACCUGUCACUGAAGGACUGCUUUCCUCAGCAACGACGUGAACAGCAUUACUCGAAUAUCCUGAUUCAGCUGAUCUACCCGUCUUUGUACAAGCGGAGUUGGUAGAGGAGGUCAUAAAAAUCUACAUCCUUCGGGACAAUGAUGGGGCAGUCGGCGAUGUAGGAGUUGUGAUUGAGGACAUCACUGUCCUCCGCAAUCUCGGGAAUCUCAGCAGAGCCUGCUGCUAUCUUUUGGGACUCACGUACGCAUUGGAUUUGAGAUAUCCCAAGACCCACAAAUACUCACUUGAGGUUUACAAAAACUGUUUCUUGAGCUGGAUCCUUCAAGACUCUCUGUUAAGGUUCAGAGGUUAAAAAAAUAUCUUCUUGCAUAGUUGCUGUUCAAGAUCAUCCCACAGAAUGGGCGUUCCUGAUGGAAGUGUUUCUGUUAUCUGAUUAAUUAUGUUGAAGGGAUAGUUCACCCCAAAAUGAAAAUGUUGUCAUAAUGUACUCACCCUCAAGUUGUCCCAAACCUUUACGAGUUUCUUUCUUCUCUUGAACACAAAAGAUAUUUUAAAGAAUGUUGGUUAACAGACAGUUGAAGGUUGCCAUUGACUUUUCAUAGUAUUUUUUUUUUUUUCCUACCAUGAAAGUCAAUGGCAACCUUCAACUGUCUGUUAACCAACAUUCUUUAAAAUAUCUUUUGUGUUCAACAGAAGAAAGAAACUCGUACAGGUUUGGGACAACUUGAGGGCGAGUACAUUAUGACAACAUCAUCUUUUUGGGUGAACUAUCCCUUUAUAUUGAUGUAAGUGUUGCUUUUAUUUUUUUUAUGGUUUAAUGUUGAGUGUGACUGCAAAUGGCUUGUAUGCAGCAGGAAGAAAGUAAGAUGUCAUUUCUCUUAUGGCUAUCGUAUUUUACAUGCAAUCUACUUGAAUAUUAAAAUGGAUGAAAUUUUUCAUAGGUUGAUUUUAGACUUUGUCUAAUGUUUAAUUGACA
Molecule: long non-coding RNA, 1248 nt
Organism: Cyprinus carpio (common carp)
Lineage: Eukaryota; Metazoa; Chordata; Actinopteri; Cypriniformes; Cyprinidae
Source: Ensembl